Pocillopora verrucosa is the source of this 579-nucleotide long non-coding RNA. RefSeq lists it as uncharacterized. The record is from RefSeq and is a predicted model, not a curated record. NCBI's taxonomy places the organism in Eukaryota, Metazoa, Cnidaria, Anthozoa, Scleractinia, Pocilloporidae.
GAUCCUCGCAAGCUUUUUUUCCUUUUCGUUAACCAUACCUCUUGUCAAGCGCACUUGAAGCGAUAUUUACAGAUGGCUAAAUCUCAGAAAAAUUAUUGAGCUUGAAGACCCCCGACCCUUGAUAACGUCGCAGAAACCAAAGUAGGAAAGGUUACCAAGCUAUUUUCGACACGGAGAUGAAAAGAUGAAGGCGAAAAUGGCGGAGCAAACAGCAGAUUUCAUAGCGCUUUUGUUGGCAUUUGUGGCGAGACUCCGUUCUUAAUAUGGCGUCAACAUGGUAAAAAGCGUAGCGACUUGAUCAAAAGUGAAUAAUUUGGCCGUUUCUAAAGAUAUGGACCCGAAAACUUGGAAAUGACAAGAGAAAGUUAUGAGCAUUGAAGUGUAAUCGAUUUCGAAACCCGACUUUGCCGUGUUUGAAGUAUAGUAGCGAAGGAGCAGGAUUCCAGUUCAGUCAUUCUGCGGACAACAACUUGGUGUACUUCCAAAUUCUGAAACCCAGCGUUACACAAAGGAUACUUAAGAAUGAUGAAUCUUUUCUAUGCGUUUUAAUAAACUUGAAAUGUCAAAGUUUUGCUCAAA